Molecule: ribosomal RNA, 443 nt
Filed under: Bilobella aurantiaca L3
Lineage: Eukaryota; Metazoa; Arthropoda; Collembola; Poduromorpha; Neanuridae
Description: partial 28S ribosomal RNA
Source: RNAcentral
GGGAAAGUUGAAAAGAACUUUGAAGAGAGAGUUCAAUAGUACGUGAAACCUCUCGGGGGUAAGCGGGCAGAACUUGCAAGUAUUGUCAGGAGAUUCAGACUUGAGUUUAGUAGUUGAGUACUUUUGUUAAGUUGUUCAUUCGUGAACUGACUGAUUGAUGUACUUUAUUCUGCUGAAUAUGUGUCGCACUUCUCCUUGUCAUCCGGGUUGCAUGCAACUGAUUUUGGUAGUUUAGGUUUUGAGAAUCUGUGAGUCAUUCAUUCGUGAUUGAUUUAAGUCUUGAAUUUCCAACUAUUGAUGCGGUUGUAAGAAAAUAGCGAACAAGCGUUUGACGCGGUCAAUUAUUUUUACGAGUCGUGUACGUAUUUUAUAUGGACGAGCAAUCGUAGUAUAUUUUAUGUGCUGGUUGUCAGUAAGAGUAACUUUGGCAUUGUUCUGUAUUG